AUUUAUUUCAUCGAUUAGAAGUAUGCAGUAACAGACCAGCAAAUGUCCAGAGCGUCAAAUCUGCAAUCAUGCUGAGUGUUUUUCUUAGUUCUAACCAAGAAAAAAAAUGAUGUCUAAAAUGACGACUGACGAUAUUACCUAACUAUCAUUUGAGAAUCAUAAUGUUACUUCUUCAUUAUAAAUUCUCAGAUAGAGGUAAAUAAAUAUUGUGUCAGCUGGAUGUUCGAUUUGCAGGAAUGAUAGUCAAAGAAUAGACGAACUAAGGCAUACAAGGAAGCCUACGAAACGACAGCAAAUUUAGAGCUAUGCCAAAUAACACCGAUUAGCUGUUAGGACCUUUCAUCGUUUACGAUUUGCAGCCAAAAAUUUGUAAUUUAGCCCAUUACAUGUAGAUGACAAUGAAUCAUGCAAAUAAAAGAUUUAAUUUGAUUUGUGUAAUAACUGUAGCUUGAUGUAAUAAAUACUCUUAUAUUA
Long non-coding RNA from Stegodyphus dumicola, 474 nucleotides. The record is from RefSeq and is a predicted model, not a curated record. Lineage: Eukaryota; Metazoa; Arthropoda; Arachnida; Araneae; Eresidae.